RNAcentral lists this long non-coding RNA (286 nucleotides) under Vitis vinifera (wine grape). RNAcentral describes it as "long non-coding RNA (VVIN_LNC008147)". The record is from RNAcentral. Lineage: Eukaryota; Viridiplantae; Streptophyta; Magnoliopsida; Vitales; Vitaceae.
UGGAAGUCUUCCCAUGUGGUCAACCCUAAUGGCCGGUAAUUUAGUUAUGGAAACAGUUCUUUCUACAACAUAGAGACUUGGCUCAUAUAUGUACAACCAUAUAUGAUAAUAUAGACUUGAAAGUAAAAGCAAUCCACUAUACCAGUUUGAAGUUGAUAAUCUCUCUCAAAUGUCUGAGAAACGGGACAGUGCAAGUUUCCCAGAUAAAGAGACGAAGAAGAAGAUGAAGCUUGAUAUUUCUUCAUCGAGCAGGUCGGCCUCUGAUGUUAACAAGAAGGAGAUGCCU